ACGUCGAAGUACUGGUUCCCCUACAAUAACCGACGUUAAGCAACAUUGAGCCUGGUCAGUACCUAGAUGAGUGACCGCUUGGGAAAACAAGGUAUU
This is a non-coding RNA of Acanthosepion pharaonis, 96 nucleotides long. Lineage: Eukaryota; Metazoa; Mollusca; Cephalopoda; Sepiida; Sepiidae. The record is from the annotation of a GenBank genome assembly.